UUGGCGCCGCCCAGCGGCCGCGCUGUGGGGGGGCGGUGUCCUCCCCGGCGCGCGGGCGGGGCUGUGAGGCCGCGCCGCCAUGUUGGCGGUCCCCGCGUGGCGCUGGCCCCGCACCUCGGUGUGUUGGCUGUGCCAGGGCACGGGGCUGUGCCGGGAGCCGGCGCUGUCCCCAGGUGGUAGUGCUGUGCCAGGGAAUGGCCUCAGCCCUCCUCAGAGCAGCGUGCUGGGUGCUGGCCGGGUGCCACCUCCCCUGAACGCCGCGCGGCCCCACCGCGGUCUCUGCUUCAGGAAUCUCAGAUGGAGGAAUUGAGCAGAAUACAUGGGGAAUUUGCUUUCAGAACUGAAGCUCAGCAGGACUUGGUUCUCUCCAUGAGUGACAGAAUCCUUCACAGUGAGCUCCCAGCAUAUUGAAAACUUUCAAAGGAUGAAAUGGAUUGGUUUGGCAGAUCUGAAGAGUCUGAAUUAAUCCCCUGGUUAGAGCAUUUGAGCACUGCUGAUGUGGAACAGCACAGCCAGCAACGUAAAGAUUUCAAGAUGGUUAAUUCCAAGGAAACAAGAAACUUCAGGUGGACGUGGAAGGAGGAUUUAAACAAACUGACAGUUUGUCUUCAGAGGAUCUCCCUGCAGACCCCAAAUUAUUUCAAGGUAAACUCCUGGAACUGUUUGAUGGUCAUCCUGUGAUCCACGUAAUGUUCUACUAGUUCAGGAGGGCAGAGAAGAAUGAUGUGUCCAAGCAAGAACUUGGACUGCUCUGAAGGCACAAAGCUCUUCAUCUCAUGUGCAACCUGGUGUAGGACAUCCCAGCUCUAAGAGCUUCCUUCCAAUAAAUCCCCUUGAUGCAGUUGGUUUUCUGGGAAGGGAAGAAGCAGGGAGGCAAAGCUGAGUCGAUUUUUAAAUGAAGCCGCUACCAAUUGCUAUCCAUUAGACCUACAGACUCUUCAGCUUUCUAGACAUUUCUUCCGACCUCUGUCAUGGAGAACUUCACCGUGAAGCCGCAGAAUGCAGAUGGAUUGACAACCAAAGCCCCGCGUGUACUUUUUCCCACAUGUCCAACUCGUAGAUGAAGAUUUCACACCAUGAGCAGUUGAGAAGGUCAUAUUCCAAACACCUCACAUGACAAGGAAUGAACAGCCACACUUCUUACCUGUUGUGGUGGAGACAAGUCUUCCAUGUUGUACAACGCUAAGCAAAAGUAGCUCAAAUGGAGUAACAAAGAAAGGAAGUGAUUCAGAGGCUUUGAACCACAGGACCAACAAUUCACAUCCAUCCACGCAAACGCCGGCAAAAUGACUGGGCCUAACACUGCCUGCAAACUGGGCUGUGUGUUCCCUCCUGCACACCAGAUUACUCCUCGAGCAACCUCUCUGGGAUGCCACACAGUGGUACUCAGUGCACAGCCCACGACCAACGGCCAAACGUCACCAUCUUGUGACGCAACGAUCAGAAACAGCCGAAUUUUUUAACGACGAGUUGUUAAUUUUUUAACCAGCAUGGCCACCAUUAGUCUGAGACAUACCAGCUUUAUUUCCUUCUAGAACUAAUUGAAACAUCCGAAGAAAACUCGGACAACACCAGGCAAAGAUCCUCCAUGCAUCCCAGAAACUACUCAUACUAAAGUUGUGUCGCUAACUUUUUUGGGUCAAAGCUGUUCUUCACAGAACUCCCACUGGCUAUUCCAGAGUCACAACAGCAAUGACAUGCAAUAUCCUUAAAAUUACAAAGUUAAAUGGCAGGUACCACAAAAAGGAGAGAAAAAACACCAAUAGUACUAUUCAGAUCAUCAUGUACUUCCAAUAAUUUAACACCUUGGAGGAGAGCUGAAGUGCUGUUCACUCCAGAGGAGGUCUGUGUCACACACAGCAAAAUACAGCCCUAGUAGAGCAAUGUCAUCCCUUAACUAUGACCUCUGUCAAAGACUUUGAAAGACAAUGAAAGUAAAAACUGCCUACGUGAAACCUCUCAGAUCCUCGACGUCUUGCUCCUGAGACCCUACAGCUGAUCAUCAAGAUCAUCAAACGUGGAGUAAGUCCAACCAAGUCCAACCAACCACAGCAGCAGCUCCACACCCAAGCACACCCUGAUGGUUGAGCAGUGCCUAUCAUCGGCACACAGCUCCAACUGGAAGGUGAUGGUUUCAGUCCUAGCCCUUAAACUGUGCUCUCCAGAGAACCACAACACAAACAGCCAUUUCACCAGGAAACACCAGGAGCCUGAGGAGGUGCUCCAGACCAUGAAGUGUAGGACAUCCAGUCACGUUUGGUGCCUUUAGAUGAUAGACUUCCACCCUGGUUCCACUUACUGGAACAGGAUAUUUCAAACCACCAGGUCCAGUCUGCCUUAUUUUUAAUUUCAGCUUUCUCCCUUCUUCUUCUUCUUCUUCUCCGGCAUGGCAAGAGUGGCUAGACCCGUUCUCAGUUGGGGCAUUACAACUGGGCGCCAGCGGUCAAAAUUCGUCAGGGUCUCCGGCCCCUCGUCCCCUCCCUGUCCCGAGCCGGAGGAGCCGGGCGGCCGAUGGUGCCCCGGCGCUGUGGCCGCGGCCGGGGGGCAGCGCCCGGCGGGCUGGGCUGGGGGGCCCGGGGGCCGCCGCCCGCCCCUCCCGCAGCCCGGGCCGCCCGGAGCGGGGCCCCCGCCAAACUUUGCGGCCCGCGGGGAGCCCGGGCCCGGCCCGGCCGCCGCCCCCGCCACCCCCGCAGCACCCCGGGCAGGAGGUGAAGCAACCUGGCGCCGGCUCCUGCACUUUGCACAGCGGGCGCAGAGCCGCCUCCAUCCCUGCGCCUCCCGGCAGCGCUAAGGCGCAUUUUUUCGCACUAAUCUGCACAUUCAGCACGUCCAGAGCGCCUAUGACUUUACCUGGACUUUCUCCACUCUCCGGGCUCAUCACACCGCGAUCGCCUCCCCAUCCUACCGCUAACUCUCGCUCUCCUUCACUCCUUCCUCCUUCCCUCUUGCAAGGCCUGCUAAGAUCAAGCCCGAUGGAAAGUAGAGAGAGAAAGAGAAAGAGAGAGGCAGCGGGAAGGGAGGGGAGCCGCUCCAUCCCUCCCUGCCCCCCCCCGGGCACACACGCCAGCCCUUUUCCCCCCACCCCAGCCCUUCCCUCGGCGAUUUCCUCCGCUCUUCUGCAACUACGAGGGCUCGGCGGAGCGGCUCCGAACGCGCCCCCGCUGCCCCCGGCGGCGCCCCGGCCGGCGCCCCCCCCGCCGCCCGCCCGCCCCGCGGCCCCCGCUACCUCGUAAAGGUCCCCCGAAGCCAUGCUGGGGUGCGGGACCGGGCUCCUCCGCGCCGUCUCCCUCUCUCCACCUCUCCCGCUCCCCCACUCGCUCUCUCUGUUGAGUAAACUGUGUUUUGCAGAAUGACAGGCUUUGGGGCUGGCUGUGCGCAGAAUCAGAGGCGAGGAGAGCGGAGAGGCAGGCGGCGGGGCUGGCGUAACCAGCAGCAGCAGCAGCAGCAGCAGCUCGGGCGCACAGCGCCGGGAGCCGCGUCUCCCCCGCGGCGGCGGGGCCGGCGCCCCCCGCCCUCCCCUCACACCCCGCCCGCCGCCGCCGCCUCCCGCCCCGGGCGGGGACCGGGACCGGGACGGCUCCCCCUCUGCGCCCUCCCUCCGGCAGGGAAAGUCCCCGGGCCGCUCUGACGGCGGCCUCCUCUGCCCCCCCCCCCGCCUUCUUCCCCUCCGCCCCCCCGCCUCAAAACUCUUUCCGCGGCCAACAUAAAUAAAUAAAAAAUUAUAAUUUAAAAAGAAUAAAAAAUAGAGGGGCGGGGGGAGUGUGUGGGGGGGCGAGGAGCGGGCGCUUGUCGGGGAGGGCCGCGCCGCCCGCCCAAGGUCACCACGGGGAGAGCCGGGCGCGGGGCCUCGGGCGGCCCUGCCGGCACCUUCCCGCCCCCUCGGCGCCGCAUGGCCGCCCCACCCGGCCCGGCCGUCGCCGAGGGGACGGCGGGGCCGGGAGCCCCCCGAGGAGGGGCGGCCCGGGGAGGGGCGGCAGCUCUCGCCCCCCGCUCCCCGCCGGGCACAGCGGUGCCUCUCCCGCGCCCCCUCAGCCAUUUUGCGGGUUCUCCCGCCCGCCCCGGCCGAUGGAAAGCACGGCCCGCCCGCCACCUGCCCCCCACGUGGAGGCGGCGGCCGGCGGUUCGAAGCGGCUGAGGGACGUCGGGUGGCGCGAAGCCAUCGGCCAUCGACACUUUGGAGCCGUCCGGGUCAUCUGUCUGAGGGAAAACGCUGCCCCACGGCCACCGGCUCCUCGCGCGCAGUGAGGGGGAGCGCGGGCCGGCGGUGCUGAGCGGGCCGGGCUGUACCUGGACCCACCCCCGGCCCUCGUCAGCCAUCACCGCAGAGCUCAGAGCUCCGGGUGAGGAGCUUGGCUUGUCUCACACCAACUCCACGCGUGGCGUGAGUCUGGACAUACUCCGGAACCAUCUGGAUGCGAUCCUGUGCUUGAGUGGGGAGGCGGGACCAAAUGACCCACUGUGGUUCCUUCUGACCUGCCCGGUUCUGUGCUUCUGUGAAGAAGAACAAGCUCAUGGUGAAGGGAAGCCCUGCUUUUCGUCAGUGGUGGAGUCUUCAGGAGACAGGGACUGGUGUGUGGCAAAGAGCCCUGAGCAUCAUCCCCUGGGCACCUGAAGCCAAGGGCUGUUCCCUGUGGAGGCUCAUGAGCAUCGCGUCGUGUUCCUUCAGCUUCACACUGUGCUGAGUGUGUUUCUCCAGAUUAGUUCGCCUGGAAGAGACUUCAAAGACUGGGCCCUUCAGAUUUAUAAAUAUAUGGAAUAACUUCAGUAUAAUCGUGCAGAACUCACCCACUUCGAGUGCUGGAGUUGCAGAGAGAUUUGCUUGGGAGAUCCUGGCAGGACACUCAGGUAUGAUAGAAGAUGUAACUCUCCACGUGGAGACUAGGAAGAGGAUUUUGCUGAAAGAUGAGUACUGGUGAAAAUCAUCCUUGAAUCCAGGGUGGGUCUUGAGGAUGAUCCAGAAGCUUGGAGAAUUGAGCUGAUGCUCUGGGAGCCCUGG
Molecule: long non-coding RNA, 4996 nt
Organism: Pseudopipra pipra
Lineage: Eukaryota; Metazoa; Chordata; Aves; Passeriformes; Pipridae
Exons: 9
Source: RefSeq, a predicted model, not a curated record